GGGAUGUUGACAACAUGAGGUGGUGUCUACAGGCAGCUAAACACAGUUUAUUUCCUCAGAGACGACGACGGUAACAAGCAAGGCGGGGCCUCUCGACACCAACUCAACGCUAACUCAAAUUAGGGUGUCAAGGAAUGUCUUGGCUCGCUUGGCUCAUGUUAAUCGCUUUCUCAGUCGGUGUGAUGGGAGUGAACUUUUAUUUUGCUCUAAUGUCGAUAUUAAGGGAACUCUACCAAUCGGAGAAAGGUGUGAAAUAGUGAAGUCGAUUCGUUAAUUUGAUUUAUUUUGUAAAAAUAUUUUAUCAUUGUACAUUUUAUUUAAGUAAUUCUAUUAUUUCUCAAACACACCAUUUGUUGUGUGUGGAAAUGAAAAAU
Molecule: long non-coding RNA, 374 nt
Organism: Macrosteles quadrilineatus (aster leafhopper)
Lineage: Eukaryota; Metazoa; Arthropoda; Insecta; Hemiptera; Cicadellidae
Exons: 3
Source: RefSeq, a predicted model, not a curated record